This 130-nucleotide small nucleolar RNA is filed under the name Carlito syrichta (Philippine tarsier). RNAcentral's name for it is "Small nucleolar RNA SNORA33 (ENSTSYG00000020842.2)". It matches the Rfam family "Small nucleolar RNA SNORA33". From Rfam's summary of the family: ACA33 is a member of the H/ACA class of snoRNA that guide the sites of modification of uridines to pseudouridines. Lineage: Eukaryota; Metazoa; Chordata; Mammalia; Primates; Tarsiidae. The record is from Rfam by way of RNAcentral.
AAACCAGCUAAUGAAUCUGUUUACCUGUGUGUGUUUCUGCAGAAAUUUUUAAAAAGCUGGCAACAGUAAAACCAUGUUAGGAACCUUAAGGACACUGAAGUUGUUAAAGUCCCUGAAAAUAAUCUAACUG